AGGGAACUUCAACUCGGCGUUCAAUCACGCAUUGGGGAACGUCACACAUGAGCUGAUGUCUGAAAGCCAAGUAUCAAAAAAACUCCAAUCAUAUUGGCCGGCGACAGCCUAUGACAUCAUCAUAGCGCGACCCGGAAGUAUAUAAGGAGCGCUUAGAGAACCAGUCAGUAUCUUUUUCGUCUUCGAAACUGUUCUGUCUGAUCGUGAUUUUAUUGACUCCGGUAAGGGAUUCUAUAAUAUGCCUUACAAACGUUCAAGAGAGAGUGUUCAUCCGUGUCCCAGGUUUUGACACUUGAUAUACACAUUUCUGGGCGUUUUUUUUCUGGGUGGGAGAGGAGCGCGCAUAGACAGUGCUUGAGGGCGCUGUUGGUGUGUUUGUCUGUUGCUUACUGUGAGCAUCUCCCUAUCGGGAAGCUCCAUUCUCGUUCGGCACUCUUCUCGAGGGAAGAGGUGUCCGCAUCUGUGCCUGGUGAUUCUGGCCCCGUUUGUGCUGAGGCAAAACGGCGGUUGCAAUCAUAGGGCUCGCAGGUGAGCUCGUUGGGAAAUUUGAGAGAGUUGUAUUCUCUCUCAGCUUCCCCGGGGCUGAUGAGGAUGAGCUGUUGGAUGACGAUGACGUCCGUUUUUGACGUCAUCGCGCCCGGCAGCACGCGCUCCUCAGACUGCUUGAGGGCGCUGUCGGUGUAUGCGGAGCUGCUGGUGUUUUUAAUCGAUCCCCAACUACAUAAGGGCAAUUUUUAUCUACCCUCUCCUCUUCUUCUUUCACCUCCUGUAUAUAUUUUAUGGAAAAUAAAAAAGUAAGGGGUUUUUGGGCAAACUGAAGUUGAUAGGUUGGCUAGAACGAAAUAUAUUGUGCAGGCCACAAAAUGGCCGCCUCUUAGCCACCUGUUGUUUAGAGCAUAGAUAUACAUAAUAAAGGCUAAAUGUCUUACGGCGGAGUCUCUAACGUCAUCACCGGCGGCCAUCUUGUCACAGGCAAGCUUUCUGGCGGGCUCUGUGGUACCUGAUAUAAGGAAAUUGCUGGCUUUAUAGGAGAAGAUGCCAGACUUUUGUGCAGCCUACAGAUGCUCCAAUCGCCGUAGUCUCAAAACGAGAGCCCGUGGGAUCACCUUUCACCUGCAGGAUACAGAGAUAGGAAGGUAACAAGGCACGCCCGAAUCCAAUGAUCGUUUCACAUCCGGUCUCCUGAGAUACCAUCAUCUGAUUUUUUUAAGGCAGCACAGAUGUAUCCUUCGCUGCCUUUGAUAUCCCAUAAUCCUGUGCAUUCCUUUCCAUGAUAGUUGAGCUAUAAAAAUAAAGACGGCUUAUGAAAUUUGA
Ctenopharyngodon idella (grass carp) is the source of this 1314-nucleotide long non-coding RNA. RefSeq lists it as uncharacterized. Lineage: Eukaryota; Metazoa; Chordata; Actinopteri; Cypriniformes; Xenocyprididae. The transcript is spliced from 3 exons. The record is from RefSeq and is a predicted model, not a curated record.